RNAcentral lists this ribosomal RNA (459 nucleotides) under uncultured bacterium. Its description in RNAcentral is "partial 16S ribosomal RNA". It matches the Rfam family "Bacterial small subunit ribosomal RNA", at positions 338 to 795 of the family's 1533-position model. The record is from RNAcentral.
CCUACGGGUGGCAGCAGUGAGGAAUAUUGGUCAAUGGUAGAGAUACUGAACCAGCCAAGCCGCGUGAGGGAAGAAGGUCCAGUGGAUUGUAAACCUCUUUUGUCGGGGAACAAAAACUGGGACGCGUCCCGGAAUGCGUGUAUCUGAAGAAAAAGCAUCGGCUAACUCCGUGCCAGCAGCCGCGGUAAUACGUAGGAUGCGAGCGUUAUCCGGAUUUAUUGGGUUUAAAGGGUGCGUAGGCGGUCCGUUAAGUCAGCGGUCAAAUCGCGGGGCUCAACCCCGGCGCGCCGUUGAAACUGGCAGUCUCGAGUUGGCGAGAAGUACGCGGAAUGCGCGGUGUAGCGGUGAAAUGCAUAGAUAGCGCGCAGAACUCCGAUUGCGAAGGCAGCAUACCGGCGCCAGACUGACGCUGAGGCACGAAAGCGUGGGUAUCGAACAGGAUUAGAUACCCUAGUAGUC